GACGAACCGUGCGAACGUUAUUCGGAAUCACUGGGCUUAAAGGGCGCGUAGGCGGGUUGCCAAGUCUGUGGUGAAAUCCUCCAGCUUAACUGGAGAACGGCCGUGGAUACUGGCGACCUCGAGGGGGGUAGGGGCUUGCGGAACUGUGCGUGGAGCGGUGAAAUGCGUUGAUAUGCACAGGAACUCCGGUGGCGAAGGCGGCGAGCUGGACCCUUUCUGACGCUGAGGAACGAAAGCUAGGGGAGCAAACGGG
This 253-nucleotide ribosomal RNA is filed under the name uncultured bacterium. RNAcentral describes it as "partial 16S ribosomal RNA". It matches the Rfam family "Bacterial small subunit ribosomal RNA", at positions 524 to 776 of the family's 1533-position model. The record is from RNAcentral.